This 1097-nucleotide long non-coding RNA is filed under the name Columba livia (rock pigeon). RNAcentral's name for it is "partial uncharacterized LOC102085117". Lineage: Eukaryota; Metazoa; Chordata; Aves; Columbiformes; Columbidae. The record is from RNAcentral.
CGGUGCCCUCGGCCCAGGGCCGUGCGGGACGCCGCUCGCUGCCCAGAGCUCAGCGCCGCUCUGCACCCCUGGGUUCCUGCGCUGCCCGCUCCUGCCGGGCCGGCCGUCACGUACAAACACCCGUGGGCGCUUGAGCAAGCACUGAGUUUCACAGACAUGUGGAAGGGUGGAUCUAAAACAUUGGAUUUGUUUACUGCAUUUUUGAAACACAGACUAAGAGCUCCCUAAAAGCCAGGAGCAGUUAAAAAUGAUUCAUGUCUUGAUCACCAUCUGUAUUUUUUUUUUUCUUCAGGUUUCAAAUGCCAACAAUUGAAGGUAAUGAAAUCGAGAGAGAAAAUGCGGAAGAGCCACAGUGGAGCACUCGGGAGGCACAGCAGCUCUGUAGCACUGACAGCAUCGGUCAGUCUGAAAACACAGGAACGAGCCUCAGCAAAGCUGAUCCGUGCCGCACAGCGCAGUACUGACACCUGCCUUCUGGAAUGAGCAAACUAGGCUUUUCUUUUUGUAAAGUAUUUGUGUUCCCCAUCUCUUCAAGUAACUUGUGUUCCCGCUGCUCGCAGCCUGUCGGAGUGGUUUGUGAUCGUCCACCAGUCCAGCCCACUGAGAUUGUGGCCAAGCCCAGGGCUGGACACGCUGCAGCAGCGUGGGGAGCGGGUUUCACCCCGGCUCUUCAGGUGCGAACAGUGAGGUCACCUUUGCUGUCCCAGCGUUAACUGAGCACGGGACUGGCGUCAGGAGCAACAGAAUGGACCCAACACCACUCAUGUACUGAUUGCAUCGGGACUGGCUGGAGAACAGAAGUCAGUCAUGUCAAGAAACCCAAGUCCACACAAAAGCAAGGCACAGCGCUCUCCUGAGGGAAACAUAAGGGUGCAGAAGUACAGGGGAGACUUGUACACAGCUGUUAACGGACACAGGUAACCGAGUUCUUUAUGGUUGGGAUGAGACCGUGUUUUCCAUAUCUUCAUGCUUCCAUGUCCUUAGUGCAUUCCCCAGCCUUUCUCACUGUCAGACCGAACCUUUUUCGGAUGCAGAAUAGCAGAAAGUAAAGCACUUGAAUUCACCUUUGAGCAGCUCUGGCUUAGGGGCUUCUUUCA